RNAcentral lists this ribosomal RNA (496 nucleotides) under uncultured bacterium. Its description in RNAcentral is "partial 16S ribosomal RNA". It matches the Rfam family "Bacterial small subunit ribosomal RNA", at positions 28 to 506 of the family's 1533-position model. The record is from RNAcentral.
GAUGAACGCUGGCGGCGUGCCUAAUACAUGCAAGUCGAGCGAACGGACGAGAAGCUUGCUUCUCUGAUGUUAGCGGCGGACGGGUGAGUAACACGUGGAUAACCUACCUAUAAGACUGGGAUAACUUCGGGAAACCGGAGCUAAUACCGGAUAAUAUUUUGAACCGCAUGGUUCAAAAGUGAAAGACGGUCUUGCUGUCACUUAUAGAUGGAUCCGCGCUGCAUUAGCUAGUUGGUAAGGUAACGGCUUACCAAGGCAACGAUGCAUAGCCGACCUGAGAGGGUGAUCGGCCACACUGGAACUGAGACACGGUCCAGACUCCUACGGGAGGCAGCAGGAGGGAAUAUUCCGCAAUGGGCGAAAGCCUGACAGAGCAACGACGCGUGAGUGAUGAAGGUCUUCGGAUCGUAAAACUCUGUUAUUAGGGAAGAACAUAUGUGUAAGUAACUGUGCACAUCUUGACGGUACCUAAACAGAAAGCCACGGCUAACUACGU